GCGAAGGUGGCGGAAUUGGCAGACGCGCUAGCUUCAGGUGUUAGUGUCCUUACGGACGUGGGGGUUCAAGUCCCCCCCCUCGCACCA
This 87-nucleotide transfer RNA is filed under the name Escherichia coli. RNAcentral describes it as "tRNA-Leu". It matches the Rfam family "tRNA". From Rfam's summary of the family: Transfer RNA (tRNA) molecules are approximately 80 nucleotides in length. Their secondary structure includes four short double-helical elements and three loops (D, anti-codon, and T loops). Further hydrogen bonds mediate the characteristic L-shaped molecular structure. tRNAs have two regions of fundamental functional importance: the anti-codon, which is responsible for specific mRNA codon recognition, and the 3' end, to which the tRNAs corresponding amino acid is attached (by aminoacyl-tRNA synthetases). tRNAs cope with the degeneracy of the genetic code in two manners: having more than one tRNA (with a specific anti-codon) for a particular amino acid; and 'wobble' base-pairing, i.e. permitting non-standard base-pairing at the 3rd anti-codon position. RNAcentral also lists the same sequence under 6 other names. The record is from RNAcentral. Lineage: Bacteria; Pseudomonadati; Pseudomonadota; Gammaproteobacteria; Enterobacterales; Enterobacteriaceae.